Molecule: non-coding RNA, 579 nt
Organism: Marmota flaviventris (yellow-bellied marmot)
Lineage: Eukaryota; Metazoa; Chordata; Mammalia; Rodentia; Sciuridae
Source: RefSeq, a predicted model, not a curated record
GAAGAAUGAAAUUAUGGCAUUUGCUGGAAUGGAUGUGUUAUGGAGAGGCACUCCAGGAAACACUCCACCCUUCCCUAAUGGACUUGCUCCAUCACAGGAGCAAACUGAGGGAAUGCAACAGAGAACAGCUGGUGAAGGCUCCAGGAGAUGCAAAGCAAAGUGCCCAAACCCAUAUGCCCUUUCCAGGAAGGAAGGUGGAGAAGAGAGAGGUUGCCCUGCACCACCACUUUGGCUCCUGGGAAUAUACCACACAAACCUACAAAAGAAAAGGAAGAUUUGGUUUUCAUGUUUGAUGUCAAGAAUCUCUAGUCACAUAAUUGGACCAAAAGUUCCCUCUGGAAACCAUCUCAGCCUACAUUUUACCUUACAGAAGAGGAGAGAUGUUACCAUCUGGACCUGCUAAGCUAAACACAGUCUCCCAAUUACAGAAUGUCAGGAGGAAUACAGGUCUCCCAGAUUCUGUUCCACUGUUUUUCUUACUACAGUAGUCCCCUCAUCCACAGUUUCAGUGCUCACUGGUUAAAUAAAACUUGAAUAUAUAAAUAGGAAAUUCCAGAAAUAAACAAUUCACAAGUUUUA